Molecule: ribosomal RNA, 506 nt
Filed under: uncultured bacterium
Lineage: Bacteria
Description: bacterial SSU rRNA
Rfam family: Bacterial small subunit ribosomal RNA
Source: RNAcentral
AGUGAACGCUGGCGGCAGGCCUAAUACAUGCAAGUCGAACGGCAGCACAGCAGAGCUUGCUCUGUGGGUGGCGAGUGGCGGACGGGUGAGGAAUACGUGGGAAUCUGCCCAGUCGUGGGGGAUAACGUAGGGAAACUUACGCUAAUACCGCAUGCGCCCUUCGGGGGAAAGCCGGGGACCUUCGGGCCUGGCGCGAUUGGAUGAGCCCACGUCGGAUUAGCUAGUUGGCGGGGUAAAGGCCCACCAAGGCGACGAUCCGUAGCUGGUCUGAGAGGAUGAUCAGCCACACUGGAACUGAGACACGGUCCAGACUCCUACGGGAGGCAGCAGUAGGGAAUAUUGGACAAUGGGCGCAAGCCUGAUCCAGCCAUGCCGCGUGAGUGAAGAAGGCCCUCGGGUUGUAAAGCUCUUUGUCCGGAAAGAAAAGCGCCGGGUUAAUACCCUGGUGUCCUGACGGUACCGGAAGAAUAAGCACCGGCUAACUUCGUGCCAGCAGCCGCGGUAAU